RNAcentral lists this ribosomal RNA (510 nucleotides) under Triticum aestivum (bread wheat). RNAcentral's name for it is "partial small subunit ribosomal RNA". Lineage: Eukaryota; Viridiplantae; Streptophyta; Magnoliopsida; Poales; Poaceae. The record is from RNAcentral.
AUGCCGGCUGGCGUCAAGUUCGAUCCCACGGAUCAUGAGCUGAUCGAGCACCUCGAGGCCAAAGUGAGUGCUGACAGCGCGAGAUCUCACCCUCUCAUCGAUUUUUUCAUACUAACCAUCGACAGCGAGCACGGCAUAUGCUACACCCAACCUGAGAAACUUCCAAGUAUCACACAGAGUGGCCUAAGGAAGCAUAUCUUCCAGCGCAAUUCCAGGGUGUUCAAAAGGGGCACGUGGAUGCGUCGCAAGAUACAGUCGGAGUGCGGCACGCACGCGAUGUGGCACAAGUCCGGCAGUCCCUUGCCGAUGAUGGUCAUCGGCUGGAAGACGGGCAGCACAAAGGUUCUGGUGCUGCACACCAACAAGAACUUCGACCAGCAGAGGACCAACUGGGUGAUGCACCAGUACCACCUCGGGGACCUGGAGCAAGAGAAGGAGCGGGAGCUGGUCCUAUGCAAGAUUUUGUACCAGACGAACACUAGGGCCAGGAGUAAAAAGAUUAUAAGUUAG